GACGGAGGAUGCAAGCGUUAUCCGGAAUGAUUGGGCGUAAAGCGUCCGCAGGUGGCAGUUCAAGUCUGCUGUCAAAGACCGGGGCUUAACUUCGGAAAGGCAGUGGAAACUGAACAGCUAGAGUAUGGUAGGGGCAGAGGGAAUUCCCAGUGUAGCGGUGAAAUGCGCAGAUAUUGGGAAGAACACCCGUGGCGAAGGCGGCUCUCUGGAACGCAACUGGACGCUGAGACGCGAAAGCGUGGGGAGCAAACAGGG
RNAcentral lists this ribosomal RNA (255 nucleotides) under uncultured bacterium. Its description in RNAcentral is "partial 16S ribosomal RNA". It matches the Rfam family "Bacterial small subunit ribosomal RNA", at positions 524 to 777 of the family's 1533-position model. The record is from RNAcentral.